Molecule: long non-coding RNA, 2154 nt
Filed under: Malus domestica (apple)
Lineage: Eukaryota; Viridiplantae; Streptophyta; Magnoliopsida; Rosales; Rosaceae
Description: long non-coding RNA (MDOM_LNC007608)
Source: RNAcentral
CAAAAAAGCUCAUAAACACAGUACCUAAAUUUUAUUAAAAAUCUCAAAUGUGUUUAAAUAACUUUGUUGGAGUAAGCACUUCAAAAGCGACUAGCCGAAAGAUCAAUGAAUAGUAGACAUAUGUUUAGCUAAGUUAGUUUGAAUAGCGUACUCCACUUUUUCCAUUUAAGUUUGAAUUCUUCUUCUCAGAAUUUUAAUGAAUUUAUUAUAAUCAUUCUAUAAUAAAAAGAAAGUAAAAAUAAUGAAAAAAAUUUGAAAAUUUUAAGUUUUAACGAUAAGGACAAAAUAAAGGGUAAAGUGAAUAGUAACAUGAUUGAUUUUUUAUUGUAAAAAUAUGAUUUUUCGUUAAAGUAAACAGUACCAAGAGUUUUUCAUUAAAGUUCUUAAAAAAAAUCAACCAAUAAACUCUGUUUAGGCAAAUAAGAGGGUCCUUUAGGCCCCAUCCUUUUGGAUUAACAUCUUGCAGCUAUUGGCGAGACUUGGCCCACAAAACCAGACUGAACAAAGACAAAAUAUCACAUGACUAUUCCAAUCAAGUUGGAGGCCAUAGAAAAUAUAGCCCAAAGCUCAGGUCAGUGCCCAAAAAUAGGCAGCGAAACUUCCAAACUUGAAUCCCUCAAACACUCGUUGAGAUGGCAGGGACCAAAUUUUGGGGAUAUUAACUAAAGAAGUGAGUCGAAAGCUGAGAAUUUGCAACACUUCGACUCAUGAGAAUUUUACGAUUACAUAUAUUUAUAGUGAAUUUGAUACCUAUUUAUAGUUGACCUGUUAUGAUGACAUAACUAAAGUAUCGUUCUACUUGUCCAAACACAAACGAACAACAAAGAGAGUGGUCAGCCGCCUAGCCUAGGCAGGACCUACGCAGCGUUAGGUUGAAAAUUUUAAAACAGUAAUUUGAGAAUUUUACGAUUACAUAUUUUUGUAGUGAAUUUGAUACCUAAUUAUAGUUGGCCUGUUAUGAUGACAUAACUAAAGUAUUUCGUUCUAUAGCUUGUCUGAACACAAACGAACAACAAAGAGAGUGGUCAGCCACCUAGCCUAGGCGGGACCUACGUAAAGCUAGGUUGAAAUUUUUAAAACAGUAAUUUGUAGUGAAUUUAAUACCUAAUUGUGGUUGACCUGUUGUGGGAACGCAACUGAAAUAUCUUGUUCUAUAGCUUGUCCAAACACAAAUAAACAACAAAGAGAGUAGCCCUAGUCCUAAUCCUUUUACGUCCCACUCCUAUCAUGUUGGCUAGUUUUCAAUAAUUUCUUUGCCAUAUAUUGCCACCCAUGAUAUAAUACAAAAGAGUAUAGAAUGAAGACUCCCAUCACAAUGUUGUUAACAAAGUCGCAUUCAAAUUAUUUAAUAUCUUAAUAAUUCAUUGUUUCUUUUUCGUACAUUAUAAUAUAAUAUGAACGCGACAGCUGCGCUAAGUAUGAAUCUUUAAGUUUUAAACCAAGUUACAUUUUGUCACAUACGUUAGGCUAUGUGUGACAAAUUUGUUAAUAACUUUAAAUACAGUGUUAAUGUCAAAGAGUAAUAAUAUUAUACUCAAGAGAAUUCCAGAAGAAAAUUUUAUACAGCGGGGGUCGGUCUAGUUGGUAUAAUACAUCAUUGUGAAUUAAUUAAUUUAGUUUUAUUUGUAGUAUUUUAUCACGUUGGAGUAAAAACUAAAGCAACAAUUCAACGUGUUUGUAUGGUGGUUGCCUUGGUCCAUUUUGGCAAGCUAGAUGUGAAAAACUUUCACGCACUUGUUGAAUGAAAAUGGUGUUUUAUGUUUAGGUUUUUUAAUUAAAAUCAUUUAUGAGAUUGACAUAACUCUCUACAUUGGUCUCUGAGAUUUAAAAUCGAUAAAACUAGUCCCUAAAUUUGUCUACCAUUAAUCAUUUUGGGUUUUCCGUGAAAAAUCUUCGAUAAACAAGGUAUAAUGACAAAAGUACCCUCAAUUUUUAUCUAUCAUUUUGACCCAUUGUUUAUUAUAUUGAGGGUAUUUUUAUCAUUGAUCUUAUUUAACAAUUUUUUUUUUACAGAAUGACCAAAAUGAUUAAUAGUAAACUAACUCAAAGAUCACUUCUACUGAUUUGAAAAUCUCAGAAACCAUUUUAUAUAUAUAAAAAAAAACCCUAUAUUUAUUAUCACUUCUUAUUUCUAUGAAGUUUGUUUUAUAAGCC